RNAcentral lists this non-coding RNA (24 nucleotides) under Arabidopsis thaliana (thale cress). The record is from RNAcentral. Lineage: Eukaryota; Viridiplantae; Streptophyta; Magnoliopsida; Brassicales; Brassicaceae.
GAUCUCAAGCCUAUCUAUCUAAGU